GAUGAAGAACGUAGCGAAAUGCGAUAAGUAGUGUGAAUUGCAGAAUUCAGUGAAUCAUCGAAUCUUUGAACGCACAUUGCGCCCCUUGGUAUUCCAUGGGGCAUGCCUGUUCGAGCGUCAUUUGUACCUUCAAGCUCUGCUUGGUGUUGGGUGUUUGUCUCGCCUCUGCGUGUAGACUCGCCUUAAAACAAUUGGCAGCCGGCGUAUUGAUUUCGGAGCGCAGUACAUCUCGCGCUUUGCACUCAUAACGACGACGUCCAAAAGCACAUUUUUACACUCUUGACCUCGGAUCAGGUAGGGAUACCCGCUGAACUUAAGCAUAUCAAAUAAGCGGAGGA
This 338-nucleotide unclassified non-coding RNA is filed under the name soil metagenome. RNAcentral's name for it is "partial contains 5.8S ribosomal RNA, internal transcribed spacer 2, and large subunit ribosomal RNA". The stretch from base 1 to 120 matches the Rfam family "5.8S ribosomal RNA", at positions 35 to 154 of the family's 154-position model. The record is from RNAcentral.